GUUGUAUGGUUAAGUGACUAAGCGUACACGGUGGAUGCCUUGGCAGUCAGAGGCGAUGAAGGACGUAGUAACUUGCGAUAAGCCCAGAUUAGGUAGUAACAACCAUUUGAGUCUGGGAUUUCCGAAUGGGGAAACCCACUUACAUAAGUAAGUAUCGCUGCGUGAAUACAUAGCGCAGCGAGGCGAACCGGGGGAACUGAAACAUCUAAGUACCCCGAGGAAAAGAAAUCAACCGAGAUUCCGAAAGUAGCGGCGAGCGAAAUUGGACUAGCCCUUAAGCUUUACACGCGUUAGACGAACGGUCUGGAAAGUCCGACGAUACAGGGUGAUAGUCCCGUAGUUGACGACGUGUGUUCAGUGAAAUCGAGUAGGGCGGGACACGUGAUAUCCUGUCUGAAUAUGGGGGGACCAUCCUCCAAGGCUAAAUACUACUGACUGACCGAUAGUGAACCAGUACCGUGAGGGAAAGGCGAAAAGAACCCCUGUGAGGGGAGUGAAAUAGAACCUGAAACCGUGUACGUACAAGCAGUAGGAGCACCUUCGUGGUGUGACUGCGUACCUUUUGUAUAAUGGGUCAGCGACUUAUAUUCAGUGGCAAGGUUAACCAUCUAGGGGAGCCGUAGGGAAACCGAGUCUUAACUGGGCGUUCAGUCUCUGGAUAUAGACCCGAAACCAGGUGAUCUAGCCAUGGGCAGGUUGAAGGUUGAGUAACAUCAACUGGAGGACCGAACCGACUAAUGUUGAAAAAUUAGCGGAUGACUUGUGGCUAGGGGUGAAAGGCCAAUCAAACCUGGAGAUAGCUGGUUCUCCCCGAAAGCUAUUUAGGUAGCGCCUCGGACGAAUACUACUGGGGGUAGAGCACUGUUAAGGCUAGGGGGUCAUCCCGACUUACCAACCCUUUGCAAACUCCGAAUACCAGUAAGUACUAUCCGGGAGACACACGGCGGGUGCUAACGUCCGUCGUGGAGAGGGAAACAACCCAGACCGCCAGCUAAGGUCCCAAAUUACUACUAAGUGGGAAACGAUGUGGGAAGGCUCAGACAGCCAGGAUGUUGGCUUAGAAGCAGCCAUCAUUUAAAGAAAGCGUAAUAGCUCACUGGUCGAGUCGGCCUGCGCGGAAGAUGUAACGGGGCUAAGUAGUAAACCGAAGCUGCGGCAAUAUACUUUUGUAUAUUGGGUAGGGGAGCGUUCUGUAAGCGGUUGAAGGUGUGUGGUAACGCAUGCUGGACGUAUCAGAAGUGCGAAUGCUGACAUGAGUAACGAUAAAGGGGGUGAAAAACCUCCUCGCCGGAAGACCAAGGGUUCCUGUCCAACGUUAAUCGGGGCAGGGUAAGUCGACCCCUAAGGCGAGGCCGAAAGGCGUAGUCGAUGGGAAACGGGUUAAUAUUCCCGUACUUCUUACAAUUGCGAUGGGGGGACGGAGAAGGCUAGGUGGGCCUGGCGACGGUUGUCCAGGUUCAAGUGCGUAGGCUUAAGAGUUAGGUAAAUCCGGCUCUUUUUAAGGCUGAGACACGACGUCGAGCACCUACGGGUGUGAAGUCAUUGAUGCCAUGCUUCCAGGAAAAGCCUCUAAGCUUCAGAUUGUAAGGAAUCGUACCCCAAACCGACACAGGUGGUCGGGUAGAGAAUACCAAGGCGCUUGAGAGAACUCGGGUGAAGGAACUAGGCAAAAUGGUACCGUAACUUCGGGAGAAGGUACGCUCUUGAUGGUGAAGUCCCUUGCGGAUGGAGCUGACGAGAGUCGCAGAUACCAGGUGGCUGCAACUGUUUAUUAAAAACACAGCACUGUGCAAAAUCGUAAGAUGACGUAUACGGUGUGACGCCUGCCCGGUGCCGGAAGGUUAAUUGAUGGGGUUAGACUUCGGUCGAAGCUCUUGAUCGAAGCCCCGGUAAACGGCGGCCGUAACUAUAACGGUCCUAAGGUAGCGAAAUUCCUUGUCGGGUAAGUUCCGACCUGCACGAAUGGCGUAAUGAUGGCCACGCUGUCUCCACCCGAGACUCAGUGAAAUUGAAAUCGCUGUGAAGAUGCAGUGUACCCGCGGCUAGACGGAAAGACCCCGUGAACCUUUACUACAGCUUGGCACUGAACAUUGACCCUACAUGUGUAGGAUAGGUGGGAGGCUUUGAAGCACGUACGCCAGUAUGUGUGGAGCCGUCCUUGAAAUACCACCCUUGUAGUGUUGAUGUUCUAACGUCGACCCCUUAUCGGGGUUGCGGACAGUGCCUGGUGGGUAGUUUGACUGGGGCGGUCUCCUCCCAAAGAGUAACGGAGGAGCACGAAGGUGGGCUAAUCACGGUUGGACAUCGUGAGGUUAGUGCAAUGGCAUAAGCCCGCUUGACUGCGAGAAUGACAAUUCGAGCAGGUGCGAAAGCAGGUCAUAGUGAUCCGGUGGUUCUGAAUGGAAGGGCCAUCGCUCAACGGAUAAAAGGUACUCCGGGGAUAACAGGCUGAUACCGCCCAAGAGUUCAUAUCGACGGCGGUGUUUGGCACCUCGAUGUCGGCUCAUCACAUCCUGGGGCUGAAGUCGGUCCCAAGGGUAUGGCUGUUCGCCAUUUAAAGUGGUACGCGAGCUGGGUUUAGAACGUCGUGAGACAGUUCGGUCCCUAUCUGCCGUGGGCGUUGGAAGAUUGAAGGGGGCUGCUCCUAGUACGAGAGGACCGGAGUGGACGAACCUCUGGUGUUCGGGUUGUGUCGCCAGACGCAUUGCCCGGUAGCUAAGUUCGGAAUCGAUAACCGCUGAAAGCAUCUAAGCGGGAAGCGAGCCCUGAGAUGAGUCUUCCCUGAUACUUUAAGUAUCCUAAAGGGUUGUCGGAGACUACGACGUUGAUAGGUCAGGUGUGUAAGUGCUGUGAGGCAUUGAGCUAACUGAUACUAAUUGCCCGUGAGGCUUAACCAUACAACACCCAAGGGGUUU
Molecule: ribosomal RNA, 2915 nt
Filed under: Vibrio parahaemolyticus
Lineage: Bacteria; Pseudomonadati; Pseudomonadota; Gammaproteobacteria; Vibrionales; Vibrionaceae
Description: bacterial LSU rRNA
Rfam family: Bacterial large subunit ribosomal RNA
Source: RNAcentral